This 393-nucleotide ribosomal RNA is filed under the name uncultured bacterium. RNAcentral's name for it is "partial 16S ribosomal RNA". It matches the Rfam family "Bacterial small subunit ribosomal RNA", at positions 523 to 918 of the family's 1533-position model. The record is from RNAcentral.
AUACGGAGGAUGCAAGCGUUAUCCGGAUUUAUUGGGUUUAAAGGGUGCGUAGGCGGUUUGCUAAGCGGGAGGCGAAAUGCCGGCGCUCAACGUCGGAAGUGCCUCCCGAACUGGUGGACUGGAAUGACUCUGCCGUGGGAGGAAUGUGUAGUGUAGCGGUGAAAUGCUUAGAGAUUACACAGAACACCGAUUGCGAAGGCAUCUCACGAAGGGUUGAUUGACGCUGAGGCACGAAAGCGUGGGGAUCAAACAGGAUUAGAUACCCUGGUAGUCCACGCAGUAAACGAUGAUGGCUAACCGCUGGUUUAUUCGGAUCAGUGGCCAAGCGAAAGCGAUAAGCCAUCCACCUGGGGAGUACGACCGCAAGGUUGAAACUCAAAUGAAUUGGCGGGG